GUCUCGAUGGCGCAGUGGUUAGCGCACUUGCCUCGUAAGCAGGAGACCUAGGUUCGAAUCCCAGUUUAGCACC
This is a non-coding RNA of Schistocerca gregaria, 73 nucleotides long. NCBI's taxonomy places the organism in Eukaryota, Metazoa, Arthropoda, Insecta, Orthoptera, Acrididae. The record is from the annotation of a RefSeq genome assembly.